GAUGAACGCUGGCGGCGUGCCUAAUACAUGCAAGUCGAGCGAACAGACGAGGAGCUUGCUUUUCUGAUGUUAGCGGCGGACGGGUGAGUAACACGUGGAUAACCUACCUAUAAGACUGGGAUAACUUCGGGAAACCGGAGCUAAUACCGGAUAAUAUAUUGAACCGCAUGGUUCAAAAGUGAAAGACGGUCUUGCUGUCACUUAUAGAUGGAUCCGCGCUGCAUUAGCUAGUUGGUAAGGUAACGGCUUACCAAGGCAACGAUGCAUAGCCGACCUGAGAGGGUGAUCGGCCACACUGGAACUGAGACACGGUCCAGACUCCUACGGGAGGCAGCAGUAGGGAAUCUUCCGCAAUGGGCGAAAGCCUGACGGAGCAACGCCGCGUGAGUGAUGAAGGUCUUCGGAUCGUAAAACUCUGUUAUUAGGGAAGAACAUAUGUGUAAGUAACUGUGCACAUCUUGACGGUACCUAAUCAGAAAGCCACGGCUAACUACGUG
Molecule: ribosomal RNA, 497 nt
Filed under: uncultured bacterium
Lineage: Bacteria
Description: partial 16S ribosomal RNA
Rfam family: Bacterial small subunit ribosomal RNA
Source: RNAcentral